AGAGUUUGAUCCUGGCUCAGAUUGAACGCUGGCGGCAUGCUUUACACAUGCAAGUCGAACGGCAGCGGGGGCUUCGGCCUGCCGGCGAGUGGCGAACGGGUGAGUAAUGCAUCGGAACGUACCCAGUCGUGGGGGAUAACUACGCGAAAGCGUAGCUAAUACCGCAUACGCCCUGAGGGGGAAAGCGGGGGACCUUCGGGCCUCGCGCGAUUGGAGCGGCUGAUGUCGGAUUAGCUAGUUGGUGGGGUAAAGGCCUACCAAGGCGACGAUCCGUAGCUGGUCUGAGAGGAUGAUCAGCCACACUGGGACUGAGACACGGCCCAGACUCCUACGGGAGGCAGCAGUGGGGAAUUUUGGACAAUGGGCGCAAGCCUGAUCCAGCCAUGCCGCGUGAGUGAAGAAGGCCUUCGGGUUGUAAAGCUCUUUCAGACGGAAAGAAAUCGGGCGCGUGAAUAGCGUGCCUGGAUGACGGUACUGUCAGAAGAAGCACCGGCUAACUACGUGCCAGCAGCCGCGGUAAUA
This 522-nucleotide ribosomal RNA is filed under the name uncultured bacterium. RNAcentral's name for it is "bacterial SSU rRNA". It matches the Rfam family "Bacterial small subunit ribosomal RNA", at positions 8 to 525 of the family's 1533-position model. The record is from RNAcentral.